RNAcentral lists this unclassified non-coding RNA (2927 nucleotides) under Hevea brasiliensis (rubber tree). The record is from RNAcentral. Lineage: Eukaryota; Viridiplantae; Streptophyta; Magnoliopsida; Malpighiales; Euphorbiaceae.
CAUCUUAUAAUAUUUGAAUAUUAAUGCAAAACUAAUCUUAGACAGAAUUAAAUGAUGAAAAAUGAUCAAUAUAACAAAUCCCAAUUCUCGACUAGUUUGAGAUUUAAGGGUUUUGAUUAUUGUUUAUUUAUAAUUUUUGUACAAAUUUAUUUUCAUUUUAAAUAAACAAAGCUUUAUACAGUUCUCUCGGAUAUUUUUAUUUCAAUCUACUUGCCACAAUUUGCACAGAGCUUAAUUGUGCUAAUUCAGCUCCAUCCUGCUGCUGGCAUUACCAUUGUAAUAGUAAUCUUGGCACUCUUCUCCUUUACAAUAUAACAAUGAUAAUAAAUCUCAAUGUUAGUAAUGAUAUUAUUGUAAUUCCAUUAUUCAACACUGAAAUGGAAUGCUUUUUAGUUUUUGCUUAAUGGGCUAAGAGCAACUGCAAAACUAAAUCCAUCAUCCAAGAACCAUAUAUCACUAAUGAAUCCAUGCUCUAUUACAUAAAAUUGGGCACAAAUUGUAUGCUUUCAAACAAGAGAAACAAAUCUAAUUACAAAAAUGAUACAAAUUCCUACACCAAAUAAGGAAAUAUGACCAUUGAGCUUUGGUGAACUAGAGGAACUCUUCCCUAUGAACUCACCUGAAUUGGGCACAGGUUCUAAUGCUUCUGAUCUUGGAGGAUCUGCAGAACUUAGAGGCCACCGGGUGUCGUUUGUUGGAGUAGGAAAAAAAGAAGAAAUAUUGGGUGCAGUUACAUAUGGCAAAACUGCUGGAGAAGCUGCAAUCAUAUGCUCACUAGAAAGAGCAAGCAAAUUAGAGAAGAGGAUAACUAGAGACACAGCAGCAGCAGCAGCAGCAGAACUAGCACAAGCAGUAGAAACAGUAGCUUAAACCGGUACUUUAUUCUCUUAAAUUUCACCUUUUUUUUCGAAUUCUUUCAUUUUGUUUCUCCUGGUAAAGCAAUUGAUUAUAGAAUCCUGAUUCAUUGAAACUUGUUGAAUCAUUCAGCAGUUUCUCCCCGGGCUGCUGGCCUUUCUUCUGCACAAAGAAAAUAAAAAACAAGAGACAUAGAGGAUGCAUCUUCUGAUUGAGCACAAAGAUUGCUUUCAUGACAGCACCUCCAGAAGCUUUGCACGGGAAAUGGCACAAGCAACAAAAAUUAACAAAAGGAUCAAUUUUGGUAGACGUGUGAUAAAUUUCCUCAGAAAAACUCCCGUGGAAACAGAAUUUUGAUGGCAUCCACCUUCCUAUGGAUGAAAACAGUUUUGUAGGCAGCAGCUAAAACCUCAUGAGCAGACAAUCUGUAUAAAUGCAUUGUUCUUUAAUAUCUCUCAUGUCGAUUGGGGAAACGAAGACAAACAUCCAGCUUUUUUAUUUCCUGUUUUCCAUUUCUAGCUGCUUUUUGGGUAUUUCAUCUGUUUCUAAAAUUAUUCCUUUCCAGCCAAAUGUAACAAGAAAAAAGCCAAGUCACAAUUCCCAAACACUGGUAGCCACUCCUGUAUGCACAUUUGUAUCAAUUGCACCAUUUCCAUAAAUCAGUGAUUAAAAGUAACUAUAAAAACCUGUCCUUCAAAUACCUAACCUCAAACAUCGAAUUGCAAAUACAUUUACAAAUCCCUGAUUUACAUUUCCUCAUGACAACUACAAGCCUUUGAUGAUGUAAUUUUAUUGCCCAAGUAAAAACCCAGAUGCAUCUCCCUCUUCAUUUUCUUUAGUCGUGACUCCUUUCUUCUUGAUAUUAUGUAUUAUAUGAAAAUUUCUAUUUUAAACUGAAACGGUUCAUUGCAAAACACAGUGAAAUAAACUGUCAGCUUAGUUAUCUUUGUCGUCUUCAGUAUCCUGCAGAAGGGCACCCCUCACUUUUGCCCUGUACAAACAUUUUAUGAGUCAUUGAUAAGAGAAACAUAGGUUCAUAUAAUGUAAUAUUCUUAAGUACCUGCGAUAUGCGGGCACAACACGAUUAGCAACUUUCUUUGAGACUGGAUCUUGAGCUGAUUGUUUGUCUGUUGAAGAAGAUGCCAGAAAACUGUUAUUCCCCCCCUUUAGAAAUGAUCAAAUAACUUACAAAAUAGUUCCAGUUUUAGCACAUACAAAAAGAUAAAAAAUAUGCAAAUGCAAAAAUCAAGGCCAGCUUGGACUUAAAGAGGUUGUUAAACCGAAAAAAGAAAUACUGGAUCAGCAGCUGGUUCCUGGUUAACCCGAUCCAACCAGCAAGACAAGUCCAGCUCUAAGAACAUUGUCCUCCACGAUGUGCAUAGUGACCAGAUUCCAGAAAUGAUUUUCAGUCCUAAUCCCUAUAUUUUUCUUUGAUUCUCUGAUCAUUUGUUAGAUUCCACUUAAAUCUGCAAGUUGGAAGCAAGCUUCUAAUUCAAUGUGAAACCAAAUCCAGUUGAAAGGGUAUCCAGUAUACUUUUCCAGUUUUGAUUUUGAAACACUCCAUCUGCAAAAUAGUCUCGCAUGCACAAUGGAAUAAUGGAGAUGUACAUGGGUAUGUUAGGUAGGACAUAGCCAAACUUGUAAUAAGAUUGCAUCACAUGAGUUACUAUUUUGUUUGGUGCACAGAAAAAAAAAUUAUAUUGUAAUGUAAUGCAAUGCCAAUUAUAUUAUGUAAUCACCAUUACUUUAGUUACUCUUAUUCUCAUUACAUAUAAAACGUGUGUAUUCGUGAUUAUACCAUUAGUUUUUUAGCACUUUUUUUUUCUACUGCUACUACAAUCACCAUCCUUACUCUUGCAGAUGCCACCCAUCCACCACCACCAUUGCCCAACAACCACCACCACCAACGGUGGAGCUUGCCCAAUUGAAGGGGCCAAAUUAAAUUUAUACAAAUAAGUUGUAAUUUGUAAAUAUAUUAGUUUAAAUUGAUAAAUGAAAUUAAUCACUUUUUAGUAUAUGCUAUUAAAAUAUAAAUUAAAAAUCUUAAUUUCAUUCAUAAAACAAAAUAUUUU